RNAcentral lists this ribosomal RNA (773 nucleotides) under uncultured Neocallimastigales. RNAcentral describes it as "partial large subunit ribosomal RNA". It matches the Rfam family "Eukaryotic large subunit ribosomal RNA", at positions 23 to 645 of the family's 3401-position model. Lineage: Eukaryota; Fungi; Neocallimastigomycota; Neocallimastigomycetes; Neocallimastigales. The record is from RNAcentral.
AGAGAGAGACAUGCGCGCAUAUCAAUAAGCGGAGGAAAAGAAACUAACAAGGAUUCCCUUAGUAACGGCGAGUGAAGCGGGAAGAGCUCAAAUUUGAAAUCUUCAAGGUUUACCUUGACGAAUUGUAGUUUAAAGAAGUGUUUUCUGCUGAAGUUUUGGUAAAAGUUCUUUGGAAUAGGACAUCAUAGAGGGUGAGAAUCCCGUAUUUGACCAUUAUUUUCAGCUUUGUGAUACACUUUCAAAGAGUCGGAUUGUUUGGGAAUGCAGUCCAAAAUGGGUGGUAAAUUUCAUCUAAAGCUAAAUAUUGGCGAGAGACCGAUAGCGAACAAGUACCGUGAGGGAAAGAUGAAAAGAACUUUGAAAAGAGAGUUAAACAGUACGUGAAAUUGUCAAAAGGGAAGCGUUUGACACCAGUGUUGUUUUCUCGAAAAUCAAUUAAAAAUGGCUCGAUUUUGUAUUGCUUGAGACCUUAAAAGCUCACUGUACAUUUUUCGUGUCUUUUUUAAUGCACUUUUCGUUUAACAAGUCAACAUCAGUUUCUUUUGUUGUAAAAGGGUCAUUGGAAGGUGGCUUUCUUUUCGGAGAAAGUGUUUAUAGCCUUUGGCCUCUGCAAUCGGAGAGACUGAGGUCUGCAGCGUAGACUCUUCGGGGUUAGAUACAUUUGUGCUAAGUUAUAGCUUUUCAUAGACAACUUGUUGACUAUGAUCAGUCAUGUAGCUUACUCGCUUAUGCUAUUUACCUACGCUUAGGAUGUUGAAGUCAUCGUAUCGCGC